This 239-nucleotide ribosomal RNA is filed under the name Albinaria jaeckeli. RNAcentral's name for it is "partial large subunit ribosomal RNA". Lineage: Eukaryota; Metazoa; Mollusca; Gastropoda; Stylommatophora; Clausiliidae. The record is from RNAcentral.
GAAAUUUUAACGGCCGCAGUACCUUGACUGUGCAAAGGUAGCAUAAUCAUUUGACUUUUAAAUGAAGCCUGGAAUGAAAGAAAGAACGUAGACAAGUUGUCUCAUUAACAUUAAUUUAAACUUGCUGUAAGAGUGAAAAUACUCUUAUUUUAAAAAAUAGACGAGAAGACCCUUAGAAUUUUUAUAAUAUACAAGUAUUAAUCUUGUAAAAUUUUUUGUUGGGGCAACAAUAUUUCAUC